ACCCCACUAUUGGCCUGCAAGUAAAGUUNUAAGCACUACGACUAAAAAGUUAAAACUUAAACAACAUGGCGGCAAGCCCAAAUUUCAGAGGAACCUACCAGGUAAAUGAUAACCCGCACAAAAUUCUUACUUUAGCUAAAAGUUUACAUAUCGCCGUCUAGUAACCUUUCGAGAAGGUUACGAUAGAACAUUAUGACAGGUCAUGACGUAGCAUAUGCUAAAGACGUAAGGUGGGUUACAAUAACUAAUUGUUUCCGAUGUUUAUUAAAAUAUAAACGGAAGAUGGAUUUGAAAGUAAUUUUUAAAAGAAAUACACUAUGAAUCUUUCUGGGUUUGUGUACACACCG
Molecule: ribosomal RNA, 347 nt
Filed under: Diniatys sp. 3 TRO-2019
Lineage: Eukaryota; Metazoa; Mollusca; Gastropoda; Cephalaspidea; Haminoeidae
Description: partial small subunit ribosomal RNA
Source: RNAcentral